This 240-nucleotide ribosomal RNA is filed under the name uncultured Lactobacillus sp. RNAcentral's name for it is "partial 16S ribosomal RNA". It matches the Rfam family "Bacterial small subunit ribosomal RNA", at positions 122 to 355 of the family's 1533-position model. The record is from RNAcentral. Lineage: Bacteria; Bacillati; Bacillota; Bacilli; Lactobacillales; Lactobacillaceae.
UAACCUGCCCAAGAGAUCGGGAUAACACCUGGAAACAGAUGCUAAUACCGGAUAACAAUAGAUGAUGCCUAUCAACUGUUUAAAAGAUGGUUCUGCUAUCACUCUUGGAUGGACCUGCGGUGCAUUAGCUAGUUGGUAGGGUAACGGCCUACCAAGGCGAUGAUGCAUAGCCGAGUUGAGAGACUGAUCGGCCACAUUGGGACUGAGACACGGCCCAAACUCCUACGGGAGGCAGCAGUC